GGCCUAACACAUGCAAGUCGAGCGGUAGCGGGCCUGACCACUCUCGAGUGGUUCAGGUGCCGACGAGCGGCGGACGGGUGCGUAACACGUAGGAAUCUGCCCGGUAGUGGGGGAUAGCCCGGAGAAAUUCGGAUUAAUACCGCAUACGCCCUAAGGGGGAAAGCAGGGGAUCUUCGGACCUUGCGCUAUCGGAUGAGCCUGCGUCGGAUUAGCUAGUUGGUGGGGUAAAGGCCUACCAAGGCGACGAUCCGUAGCUGGUCUGAGAGGAUGAUCAGCCACACUGGGACUGAGACACGGCCCAGACUCCUACGGGAGGCAGCAGUGGGGAAUAUUGCACAAUGGGCGAAAGCCUGAUGCAGCCAUGCCGCGUGUGUGAAGAAGGCCCUAGGGUUGUAAAGCACUUUCAGUGGGGAGGAAAGGUCGAAGGUUAAUACCCUUUGGCUGUGACGUUACCCACAGAAGAAGCACCGGCUAACUCCGUGCCAGCAGCCGCGGUAAUACGGAGGGUGCGAGCGUUAAUCAGAAUUACUG
Molecule: ribosomal RNA, 531 nt
Filed under: uncultured bacterium
Lineage: Bacteria
Description: bacterial SSU rRNA
Rfam family: Bacterial small subunit ribosomal RNA
Source: RNAcentral